CGAUUACAGCGCCAACUAGCGUCCACAACUUUGUGAGCUCUGUCACAUUGACGUUUAGGCCGUAUAGUGGUGAAAAAAUAUCGAAAUGAAAAAAUAACAAAUAUUUUCGACUAAUAAAUUGUUGUGAUACCACGAUUUGGGUGGAAAAAAGGUGUUGAAAUUAUUUUGGUCAUUUAAAUCAAAUGAGAUCGAAAUGAGUAUUGUUUUGAAGACCGGGUUUGUGAGUGUUACUCACAAUAUCAAAUCCCAACCAAAAACUGAAAUUAAAGGAAAGUUGUUGGUAUUGCCUGGUCUAUGUCCGAAAUGUAGAAGAAUUAAGAACAAAAGAAGGGCAGAGUUCGAUAAUUCACGCUCUCAUCAUAAGGCAAACAUCUAUUACGUUGCCACCUUACAAAACGGUUUUAAACGUGAAUAGAGCACGAGUAGUCACUAGUGUUAAAUGUAAUUGUGUUUAUCAUCAAAGUGGUAAAUGGUUUCAUUGGUAAUGUAUAUUAGCGGACUAAUGCGAUUAAAUAAUGAAAUUAAAAUGUAUUUAUGUAGAAUCAUUUUGCAAUUGACAGAUACAUCUGAUGACAGACCUUACAUUAUUUCUACUUUUGACCACCAUGAGCGCUGCAAUAGAUUAUGUUACCCCCACCUAAUACUUCGCACCGCCAUGCCACAGCGAAUACCCAUAACCCAUCAUAGGUGAAUGAUGAUGUAAUAGAGAUAGUGGUUUAAUUAAUAUGCAGGAUGUAUUUAAAUAAAAUAAAACAAAAUUUAAA
Molecule: long non-coding RNA, 764 nt
Organism: Colias croceus (clouded yellow)
Lineage: Eukaryota; Metazoa; Arthropoda; Insecta; Lepidoptera; Pieridae
Exons: 2
Source: RefSeq, a predicted model, not a curated record